Molecule: ribosomal RNA, 387 nt
Filed under: uncultured bacterium
Lineage: Bacteria
Description: bacterial SSU rRNA
Rfam family: Bacterial small subunit ribosomal RNA
Source: RNAcentral
AUUGAACGCUGGCGGCAUGCCUUACACAUGCAAGUCGAACGGCAGCACGGGAGCAAUCCUGGUGGCGAGUGGCGAACGGGUGAGUAAUAUACCGGAACGUGCCCAGUCGUGGGGGAUAACGUAGCGAAAGCUACGCUAAUACCGCAUACGAUCUACGGAUGAAAGCGGGGGAUCGCAAGACCUCGCGCGAUUGGAGCGGCCGAUAUCAGAUUAGGUAGUUGGUGAGGUAAAGGCUCACCAAGCCGACGAUCUGUAGCUGGUCUGAGAGGACGACCAGCCACACUGGGACUGAGACACGGCCCAGACUCCUACGGGAGGCAGCAGUGGGGAAUUUUGGACAAUGGGCGGCAAGCCUGAUCCAGCAAUGCCGCGUGCAGGAUGAAGGCC